AGUGAACGCUGGCGGCGUGCUUAACACAUGCAAGUCGAACGGAUCAAAGUAGCUUGCUAUUUUGGUUAGUGGCGCACGGGUGAGUAAUGUAUAGCUAACCUGCCCUUUAGUGGGGGACAACAGUUGGAAACGACUGCUAAUACCCCAUACUCCUUCUUGCCAUAAGGUGAGUCGGGAAAGAUUUAUUGCUAAAGGAUGGGGCUUUAUUGUAUCAGCUAGUUGGUGAGGUAAUGGCUCACCAAGGCUAUGACGCAUGCCUGGUCUGAGAGGAUGAUCAGGCACACUGGAACUGAGACACGGUCCAGACUCCUACGGGAGGCAGCAGUGGGGAAUAUUGCACAAUGGAGGAAACUCUGAUGCAGCAACGCCGCGUGGAGGAUGACGCAUUUCGGUGUGUAAACUCCUUUUAUAAGGGAAGAUAAUGACGGUACCUUAUGAAUAAGCACCGGCUAACUCCGUGCCAGCAGCCGCGGUAAAGU
RNAcentral lists this ribosomal RNA (479 nucleotides) under uncultured bacterium. RNAcentral describes it as "bacterial SSU rRNA". It matches the Rfam family "Bacterial small subunit ribosomal RNA", at positions 29 to 526 of the family's 1533-position model. The record is from RNAcentral.